UAAAUAUACUUUUUUGUUAUAAACAAAAGAAAAGGGCUAGUCAUGCCGAUACACAGAUACCAAAGAAAUCUCUAGAGAUAAACACCAUUGUUCAAAUUCAAAAACCAGAUUUUCGAUCAUAUUUGUCGAUGCCCUUCUGUUGCGUUGACUGUGCCGAGACGAGCAUUCAGAUAUAUACACACACUAUGUGAACGAUGAUAACACAUACAGAUGCAGCAAAUAUGAGAGAUUGUAAUGAUGUGUACCUGGUGUGAUGAACAGAAAAUGUUGUGAAUAUCAAAGCAACGAAUCGGUAAUGUUGUCAGGGAUAUGAAACACCGAUUCCUUGUGGUUGAUUGCAGAUUAUCGGCCAAAUCCCAGUGAAGAGUCUAGUCGUGCUGAUAACGUGAUAAGAAACUAAUGUGACUAAUGUGGAAAUUGUAUUGAAUCUUGAAUAUUUGUUCCCAUACUAAAUUAUAGAUCUCUACAUACAUCUCUAUAACAAUUGGUGAAACCGACAUAUAGAUUGUAACCGUCAAAUAGUUAUUAGGGAAUGUUAAUGGCCAAACAGUUAUUA
Molecule: long non-coding RNA, 556 nt
Organism: Helianthus annuus (common sunflower)
Lineage: Eukaryota; Viridiplantae; Streptophyta; Magnoliopsida; Asterales; Asteraceae
Exons: 3
Source: RefSeq, a predicted model, not a curated record